RNAcentral lists this long non-coding RNA (272 nucleotides) under Rosa chinensis. RNAcentral describes it as "sRNA RchiOBHm_Chr3g0464111". The stretch from base 1 to 91 matches the Rfam family "Small nucleolar RNA snoR26". The record is from RNAcentral. Lineage: Eukaryota; Viridiplantae; Streptophyta; Magnoliopsida; Rosales; Rosaceae.
CGAGCAUCGGUGAUGAUUUUCUUUAAUUCGUUAUCCUUGCACUAUGAUUGCCCGUGAAGAAAACUAUGGGGAAUUUGAAUCUGAGAUGCUGUUUCGUUUUUUUCUUUCUAGUUUUGAUUUGAUUCAUAAGUCUAGUAAUAUAUGAGUUUGUUUUACUCCCAUCUUUUUGUUCUUUCUGGAUCGAUGAUGUUAAUAAAUCUGCGUUAUCUAUCUGCAACUUCCCAGAAUUCGUUCUGGGAAUUGAAGAUACUAUCAAGUUACUGAGAUCUCAU